Molecule: long non-coding RNA, 304 nt
Organism: Sinocyclocheilus grahami
Lineage: Eukaryota; Metazoa; Chordata; Actinopteri; Cypriniformes; Cyprinidae
Exons: 3
Source: RefSeq, a predicted model, not a curated record
UCCACCAAUCAUCGGAAAACACCGCUCAUCUUGGUGACGUAAUACACGGCGCAAGAACGCUCUACGGAAUUUGCUCCAAGGUCACGCGCCUCUAGUGGGAGUUUGCAUUUUGUUCCUACAUUUCCUGAGGCAUCAUGACCUGCGUGCACCUGCUGUUGACUUUGGUCUUUGCUGUCAGCUUGGGGACACCUGUAGAAAUUCAAGGGCCCCGUGGAGUGCCACUGACAAAGAAACAGUUUUAUGUGGAGAACAAGCCUUUCACCUGUCUCGAUGGAUCCCGGACUAUUCCUUUUGACCGAGUGAA